ACGCUCGACACCUACGGAGGCAGCAGUGGGGAAUAUUGGGCAAUGGGCGCAAGCCUGACCCAGCAACGCCGCGUGAAGGAAGAAGGCCCUCGGGUUGUAAACUUCUUUUGACAGGGACGAAACAAAUGACGGUACCGUGUCGAAUAAGCCACGGCUAACUACGUGCCGCACACGCCGGUACGUAUNGNGGCGGNGNGAGAG
Molecule: ribosomal RNA, 201 nt
Filed under: uncultured bacterium
Lineage: Bacteria
Description: partial 16S ribosomal RNA
Rfam family: Bacterial small subunit ribosomal RNA
Source: RNAcentral